UACGUAGGGUGCAAGCGUUGUCCGGAAUUUAUUGGGCGUAAAGAGCUCGUAGGCGGCUCGAUGCGUCGUGCGUGAAACACCCCGGCUCAACUGGGGAGGGUCGUGCGAUACGGUCGGGCUUGAGGCCAGUAGGGGGAUGCGGAAUUCCGGGUGUAGUGGUGGAAUGCGUAGAGAUCCGGAGGAACACCAGCGGCGAAGGCGGCAUCCUGGACUGGUACUGACGCUCAGGAGCGAAAGCGUGGGGAGCGAUCCGG
RNAcentral lists this ribosomal RNA (254 nucleotides) under uncultured bacterium. Its description in RNAcentral is "partial 16S ribosomal RNA". It matches the Rfam family "Bacterial small subunit ribosomal RNA", at positions 524 to 776 of the family's 1533-position model. The record is from RNAcentral.